GCUCCCUGCUCCGCGGCGGCCGAGGCGGCGCGGGAGCUGCGUGACGCGGUGGCGGCCCUCGCCGUGCGCCGCGCCGCCGACGAGGACGCGCUGCGGUGCCGCGCCGUCGCGCUGGACGCCGAUGUCCGCCGCCUACAUGGCUCCCUCGCCCCCCUGGACCCCGCCACGCUCGACAAGGUCCGCGCCCCUCCCCCCUUCACCCUCUCCCUCUCUCUCUGCCUGAUUCGAAACACGAUCCCGGUCGCCGCGGCCCUCACUCUGGCCAGCUCCCGAGGCUAG
RNAcentral lists this ribosomal RNA (279 nucleotides) under Triticum aestivum (bread wheat). Its description in RNAcentral is "partial small subunit ribosomal RNA". Lineage: Eukaryota; Viridiplantae; Streptophyta; Magnoliopsida; Poales; Poaceae. The record is from RNAcentral.